RNAcentral lists this ribosomal RNA (497 nucleotides) under uncultured bacterium. RNAcentral describes it as "partial 16S ribosomal RNA". It matches the Rfam family "Bacterial small subunit ribosomal RNA", at positions 28 to 507 of the family's 1533-position model. The record is from RNAcentral.
GAUGAACGCUGGCGGCGUGCCUAAUACAUGCAAGUCGAGCGAACAGAUGAGGAGCUUGCUCCUCUGACGUUAGCGGCGGACGGGUGAGUAACACGUGGAUAACCUACCUAUAAGACUGGGAUAACUUCGGGAAACCGGAGCUAAUACCGGAUAAUAUAUUGAACCGCAUGGUUCAAUAGUGAAAGACGGUUUUGCUUUCACUUAUAGAUUGAUCCGCGCCGCAUUAGCUAGUUGGUAAGUUAACGGCUUACCAAGGCAACGAUGCGUAGCCGACCUGAGAGGGUGAUCGGCCACACUGGAACUGAGACACGGUCCAGACGCCUACGGGAGGCAGCAGUAGGGAAUCUUCCGCAAUGGGCGAAAGCCUGACGGAGCAACGCCGCGUGAGUGAUGAAGGUCUUCGGAUCGUAAAACUCUGUUAUUAGGGAAGAACAAAUGUGUAAGUAACUAUGCACGUCUUGACGGUACCUAAUCAGAAAGCCACGGCUAACUACGUG